Microcebus murinus (gray mouse lemur) is the source of this 905-nucleotide long non-coding RNA. RefSeq lists it as uncharacterized. Lineage: Eukaryota; Metazoa; Chordata; Mammalia; Primates; Cheirogaleidae. The record is from RefSeq and is a predicted model, not a curated record.
GCCCCGCAGGGAAGGCCCGGGCUGCAGCCCCCACGGCGCCCAGGCGUCGUCUUGCGACGGGCGCUCAGCGGCUCCUGGCGGGCAGAUGCGCGUGACCCGGAGGCACGCGGCUGGCCCCGUGUGCUCGGGGCGAGGGAAAGGGAAGUCUGCCCGCUCCUUCCGAGUGGUCCUUGUGGAGCAAGCCGCGCCAGCCCCACACCUCGAGAGGCGGUGGCAGAACGGGCCUGAACUGCUGGUGUUCUGGAAGGUGCCAGACGGAAGAGCACAUGGUUAACAGCUACCACUCAGCCUCGACUGUGCUGCCGGUGGGACGCGAUGCUCAGGAAGGGCUGCCCUCGCCGGCGGGUGCGGUGCGGGACUAGCUUCCGCAGCGGCGCCACGUGGCAGCAGAAGCGAUUGCAGCGGCGCGUUGAUGGCUUCUCCUGAGCUGCCGUUGUCCUUGGACCCAGUACUUCCAGUCCCAGGCACUCUGGAGCAUGUUUAGACAGACCAUGUUUGGUGUGUCACCAGAAUGGGCUUUCUGAGCAUUCCUGGAAGCAGUGUCUGCACCAGGAUGGCAGCGAAGAUUUCACUGUCCCUGGAAGCAGUGAUGAAAUGUCUGCUCCUGCCGCGGUGCAGAGGAGCGGCAGGCCUCGACCUCCUACAGCGGUGCAUUGCAGUGGGAGGCGAAAGUCCUCGGACCAACAAGGAAGCAAUUCAAAAUAUUGGCAUUGAGAAAACAAAUGACAAGUCAGAUUAUUUCUAAUAUCAUACCUUGCUUUUAGUAAAAAUCAAAGGAAGAUUUAAUCAGAUAGGAAGCCAGUGGAUCAUUAAAAAUGAUGUUGAUUAUUGAUCAUGAUGUAAUUUUUGGCAUACAACUCAGAAAAAGUUCAAAGAAUAGAAUGGUAUCACUUUAACAAAUUCUU